UUUAAUUUUGCAUUGAUGGGAAAUUUGCCGCCAUCAUUUUUGACCCCUUUCCCUUCUGAUUAAACCUAGCCCUCCAAAUUUCUCUCUGUGCAAAAAGCAGCAGCAAAGAUCCAAAGGAAUACCGCCGGACCAGCAUUGCCUGAUCUUGGCAGGAAAGCAAUUGGAAGAUGGAAGAUGGUGGACCCUAGCCGAUUACAACUUCCGGACGGAACCCACCCUCAGUCUGGCUCUCUGGCCUACACGCCCUAGAAGAUCAAGCAUGAGAAGAAGAAGAAGAAGAAGAAAAAGUGGGUUGGCAGGUGGUCACUUGGUGCUAUUAUGUAUGAAAUGCUUGUGGGUUACCCACCUUUCUACUCUGAUGAUCCAAUGUCGACCUGUAGGAACAUAGUGAAUUGGAGAACUCACUUGAAGUUUCCUGAAAAAGCAAACCUAUCUUCAGAGGCAAAAUAUCUUAUUACAAGACUCUUAUGUAAUGUCAACCAGAGGCUGGGAUCAAAAGGCGCAGAUGAAAUAAAGGUGUUGUAUGGAACAUGGUUGGUUUGAAGGUAUUGAGUGGGACAAGCUCUAUCUGAUGGAAGCUGCAUUUAUACCUGAGGUCAAUGACGAAUUGGAUACUCAAAAUUUUGAAAAGUUUGAAGAGGUAUGGAUGUCCUUCAUUUCUUGUUAGCUCUGUUAAACUAUCAGUGUUGAGGGAAUUCAUUUUUGCUUAUAUUUGGGCUUACAGUCUGACAGUCAAACUCACACUUCGUCUAAAAGCGGUCCUUGGAGAAAGUAUGAUCUGCAUUUUGUGCAUCUUGCUUUAUAGUGUGUAUAUCAGCAAAGGCAUCCCAAGAGAUUGCAUCAGCAAAUGCCGAACUCAGAGCUGCCAGUUCAAAUGCAAAGACUGAACACUUCCAACAGCAGCCAGAAGCUUAGAAACCAUCAUAUGCUUCUCAACUGCUCAUGCUAAAUUGAAACUGAGAGGAGAGGUAAAAAUCUCUUCGCUUUGAUACAUAUAUAAAUUAUGAUUAUAUAAGAUCAUGGUUGUGCCUUUUCCACCUGCUUAGCAUUUCAUUUGUAAUCAUGAUGGCACAUAUUUUCUGCUGGAUGUUUAAUUUUCCUGUAUAGGUUUCAAAAUCUGAUGUUAGGCUGCUAUGAAAGUUCUAAACUUUGCAAUAUAUCAUGAACCUACUGAGAUGGAAUAGCACAAGCAAGAGAGAGAGAGAGAGAGAGAGAGCAAUUGCAAAACAGAAAGUCAUCCAAGUGAAAAUCGUAGAUAUGAAAGUGGUACAGCUGGUCAAGAAGAGUAAGCAAUAUAUAUUAUUAGGUACUGCCUAUACGUAUUGCUGGACAUUGCUAUGGUGGUAACUAUGUUUAUGUUGCCCAUCAUACUUUUAAUCAUUGUGUGUCACUGUUUCUUUAUCUUGCAAAGUCUUUCCUACAAUUUUCUUAAGCAAACUAGCACCCCAACAUAGUGACUUUUAUUCUCCUAAUUCUUUCAAGAUUGAAUAGAGAACUUGUCUUCAUACGAACUGAUUAAUUGUUUGUAAGGACUUGUCUGAUGAAGUGAUGCACAUGCUUCAGCUGCCAUUACUAUGCU
Ziziphus jujuba (common jujube) is the source of this 1579-nucleotide RNA transcript. RefSeq lists it as uncharacterized. NCBI's taxonomy places the organism in Eukaryota, Viridiplantae, Streptophyta, Magnoliopsida, Rosales, Rhamnaceae. The transcript has 6 exons. The record is from RefSeq and is a predicted model, not a curated record.